GACGAACGCUGGCGGCGUGCUUAACACAUGCAAGUCGAACGGACAGACAGAGAGCUUGCUCUCUUGAAGUUAGUGGCGAACGGGUGAGUAACGCGUAAUCAACCUGCCCUUCAGAGGGGGAUAACAACGGGAAACCGUUGCUAAUACCGCGUACGAUUCAUGAACGGCAUCGUUUAUGAAUGAAAGGUGGCCUCUAUGUAUAAGCUAUCGCUGAUGGAGGGGAUUGAGUCUGAUUAGCUAGUUGGAGGGGUAACGGCCCACCAAGGCAAUGAUCAGUAGCCGGUCUGAGAGGAUGAACGGCCACAUUGGGACUGAGACACGGCCCAAACGCCUACGGGAGGCAGCAGUGGGGAAUCUUCCGCAAUGGACGAAAGUCUGACGGAGCAACGCCGCGUGAGUGAUGAAGGUCUUCGGAUUGUAAAGCUCUGUUAAUCGGGACGAAAGAGUUCUGCGCGAAUAAUGCAGAAAAGUGACGGUACCGGAAUAGGAAGCCACGGCUAACUACGUGCCAGCAGCCGCCGUAA
This 524-nucleotide ribosomal RNA is filed under the name uncultured bacterium. RNAcentral describes it as "partial 16S ribosomal RNA". It matches the Rfam family "Bacterial small subunit ribosomal RNA", at positions 28 to 523 of the family's 1533-position model. The record is from RNAcentral.